CUGAGCUAUUUGACGUGUGGCUCCGGGAACGGAAAGGGGCUUGUUUUGAAAAAACCUCUUUUUAUUAUUAUUAUCGUUAUUAUUUGAUUAAAGUCUCGCCGGGGCGGCGCGGUCGUCCUUGCCGCCGCGCUUCUACGACGCGCCCGCGUUUUCGUGCUGCGGAGCUCGCCUCUCCUCCCUUUUCUGUCCCCCCUCCCCAGCCCUGCCCUACCCCACCCCACCCCCGCCCGCUCCCCCAAAUGAGCGGUGGUUCGCCCGCUGGAUCUAACGCAAGGACAUCGCCCAACAGCAGCGGAGGGAAGAGCGUGGCCGCCGCCGUAGCAGCAACAACCACCGCCUCUUCUUCAGCCCAGUCUCCGGGAGCUGCGUGUCCGGCGCUCUCGCACCUGCCCCCGGGGGACCCCCUGCGCCAGGCGAACCGGCUUCCCAUCAGGGUGCUGAAGAUGCUGAGCGCCCAUAGCGGACACCUCCUGCACCCGGAAUACCUGCAGCCCCUCUCCUCCACGCCCGUCAGCCCUAUCGAGCUGGACGCCAAGAAGAGCCCUCUGGCGCUGCUGGCGCAAACCUGCUCACAGAUCGGGAAGCCGGACCCGCCGCCCGCCUCCAAGCUCAACUCCGGCACUUCCGCCGGGCUCGCCGGGCCGGACAAGGAGCCAGGCAGCCGCACGGCGGCCAGCGCCCUCAAGCAGCUGGGCGAUCCGCCCACCGAGGACAAGUCCAGCUUCAAGCCUUAUUCCAAAGGCGGAGGCGGAGAUCCGCGUAAGGACGGCGGCGGCGGCCCGCCGGGCCAGGCCGGGCCGGGGGCGGAAAAGACCGGCUUCCGGGUCCCCAGCGCCGCCUGCCCACCUUUCCCGCCGCAUGGAGCGGCAGGCGCCGCCACCGCCUCCUCCUGUUCCACCGCCUCUUCCCCGGGCGGCUCGAGAGGCAGCUCUCCGCAGCACGCGGAUUGCAAAGGCCCGGAAGACAAGAAGGAGCUGGAGAUUGCAGCCAAGACCAGCCCCGACGUCGCGCAAGGGGCCGGGGGAAGCCGAGCUGGCAGCGGAGCCAGCAGUGUGGAGCCUGGAGCUCAUGGGGAGGCCGCUUCUGGGCGCAAGUCGGAGCCUCCGACCCUGGCCUCAGGCCACGUGGCUCCGGUGUCCCCUUACAAACCAGGACACUCUGUGUUUCCUUUGCCCCCCUCUAGUAUCGGCUACCAUGGCUCCAUCGUCGGGGCCUACGCUGGCUACCCCACCCAGUUUGUGCCCAGCUUGGAUCCUACCAAGCCCAGCCUGGUGAGCAGCCAAUUGCCUGGAGCCUUGGGGCUACCAGGCAAGCCCCCCAGCUCCAGCCCUCUGACGGGGGCCUCUCCCCCUUCCUUCAUGCAAGGAUUAUGCCGCGACCCCUAUUGCCUGAGCUAUCACAGCGCCUCCCACUUGGGCACCAGCAACUGCUCCAGCUGCGUGCAUGACCCGGGCAGCCUGAAAAGCGGAUAUCCGUUGGUGUACCCCACGCACCCCUUGCACACUGCCCUGUCCUCCAGUGCCACACCCAGCCUGCCUGGCCACCCGCUCUACACAUAUGGCUUCAUGCUUCAAAACGACGGCCUGCCCCACAUAUGCAACUGGGUGUCUGCCAGCGGACCCUGUGACAAGAGGUUUGCCACCUCGGAGGAACUGCUGGCCCACUUACGGACCCACACAACUUUGCCCGGGGCGGAAAAACUCCUGGCUGGCUACCCCACCUCUGGGCUAGGGUCUGCAGCAUCUUGCCACCUGCAUCUCCCGCCCACCGCCCCAGGGAGCCCCAGCUCGUUACCGGGAUCCCUGUCUUUGAGAAGCCCGCACACCUUGGGACUCAGUCGAUACCAUCCAUAUGGCAAGAGCCAUUUGCCCACAGCCGGGGCAUUGCCAGUGCCCUCUUUGCCCGCGGCCGGACCCUACUACUCUCCAUAUGCCCUUUAUGGCCAAAGACUAACCUCAGCCUCGGCACUUGGAUAUCAGUAACUACAGCUGCCCUGUGUCUAUCGCCUCGCCCUCUCCUUGUGCGCCCUUGUCCUAGGGCUCUGUAUUUAUUUACUGUAUGUUAGCUUAAAGCUGGGAAAAUAAGUGCAUUAAUACACCAAUGAAUCAAUGGUAUGCAAAAAGUCUGUGUCCCCCAAAAUAAUAAUAAUAAUACCCAACCCAAAUCUUUUUUCUUUUCUUUUUGUCUGUAUGGGGGCUCUUAACUGUAUUUUCUUUUUAAAAUCCCCUUUUCUUUUUUAAAAAAAUAUUUUAUCCCCAUGAGCCAUUUGCAUGAUUCUCAACAAAAUGCACCCCUCACCCCUCCUUUAUUUUAUCUUUUUUAAACAAAAAAAAAAUCCGUUUCUUUUCCGUUUGUACAGUUAUCAGAAAUGUAACCCUUUUUUUGUCCUUUUAUGUAUUGUGUUCCAAGAAAAGGGGCAGUGUGAGGUCGGCUGGGAGAUGUUCUGCGGCUUUGUUCUAGCUCUGCAGGAUGGGAAGAGCAUCGCUUCGGUGGCUCCCGUGCUGGGAGAGGCACCUUACUGCGGGGGUGUAAGCUGGGAAGCAGCCUAGCCUCUGCCACCAGCUUUGGUUGUGACGACUGCUCCAUAUUAAGUCAGGUGCCCCCCUCUCUUCUCCAUUAAGUCAAAUGUGCAUUGAGAGUUAGUGGGUGCCCUAUGCAGAGGCAAGGGUUGAUGUACCAGUGAUCCUGGGACCUGGAUGUUGCUGAUGAUACUGAAGCCCAGACAGAGUGGCAACCGAGUUGAUCCAUCACAGGGGCACCUAUCACAUUUUUUUUGGUUCUUCUUUUCUUUUCUUGUUUUUUUUUCAAAAAAGACCUGGAUUUAAAUAACAUUGGCAAGCAUCCUUGAGGGACUGUUUUUUUUCCAACGUUCACCAAAAGGAAGAACUCGGAAGAACUUUGCUUAGACUAGCUCUGGCUGGAUCCUUUAAAUGAGUCUGGCUAGCCCCCAGGGGCCAGUGGCACCCUCAACUGCAAGCUUAAAUCUACAUACCAAAAAAACAGAAAAACCCAAUCCUCCCUAAUGCCCCCCACCCCCCAACUUAUCUUGACCUAUGGGAAUGGAACUGUCAUUAGGGUGUGGAGCCCCUCCCCCCCAAAUCCCCAGUCUUAACGCAGUGCGGAAGGCUGUGGAUCAUUUUGGGUGAAUGGAGCUCCAUCCUGGCACCGGCAGAACAGACUACACAGUCCAGACCUUGCUUAGAUCUCUGAAAUUUGCAGUGCCAUAAAUUGGAUCCCAGGAGUCGAGAGGAGAGGCCAGUAUCACCGAUACACCAAGUGGCAAUAGCCAGAUUGGCAAAGUGUGGUCAAUGGAAACACUUUGCUGCAGGCUCAGGCAACAAUGGGGACUGGCCCAGCGCUUUGCUGUGGGCGGUCCUGAAAGGUCUGGAGUCAGCAGUGGGGAAGAGAGGUGUAGCCAGCAGAGGACAGAGUCACUUCAAAAUACAGCCAGAAAAACCAUUCUGGCUGCUUGUCAAGCGACUAGUGUGCCCAUAGCCUGAGCUGCCACCAAAGCUACAAGUAACUCCCCACCAAUUCUACAGCUAUGUGC
Rhineura floridana is the source of this 3550-nucleotide RNA transcript. It is a transcript of the gene named zinc finger protein 703, with no coding region annotated. The transcript is spliced from 5 exons. The record is from RefSeq and is a predicted model, not a curated record. Lineage: Eukaryota; Metazoa; Chordata; Lepidosauria; Squamata; Rhineuridae.